GUGUCAGCAGCCGCGGUAAUACGUAGGGUGCGAGCGUUAAUCGGAAUUACUGGGCGUAAAGCGUGCGCAGGCGGUUUUGUAAGCCAGAUGUGAAAGCCCCGGGCUCAACCUGGGAAUGGCAUUUGGGACUGCAAGGCUUGAGUGCGGCAGAGGAGACUGGAAUUCCUGGUGUAGCAGUGAAAUGCGUAGAUAUCAGGAGGAACACCGAUGGCAAAGGCAGCCCCCUGGGCCAAUACUGACGCUCAGGCACGAAAGCGUGGGGAGCAAACAGGAUUAGAUACCCUGGUAGUCCACGCCCUAAACGAUGCUCACUAGGUGUUGGGGAAGCGAUUCCUUGGUACCGAAGCUAACGCGUGAAGUGAGCCGCCUGGGGAGUACGGCCGCAAGGUUAAAACUCAAAUGAAUUGACGG
RNAcentral lists this ribosomal RNA (411 nucleotides) under uncultured bacterium. RNAcentral describes it as "bacterial SSU rRNA". It matches the Rfam family "Bacterial small subunit ribosomal RNA", at positions 505 to 916 of the family's 1533-position model. The record is from RNAcentral.